GAUGAACGCUGGCGGCGUGCCUAAUACAUGCAAGUCGAGCGAACAGACGAGGAGCUUGCUCCUCUGACGUUAGCGGCGGACGGGUGAGUAACACGUGGAUAACCUACCUAUAAGACUGGGAUAACUUCGGGAAACCGGCGCUAAUACCGGAUAACAUGUUGAACCGCAUGGUUCAACAGUGAAAGACGGUCUUGCUGUCACUUAUAGAUGGAUCCGCGCCGCAUUAGCUAGUUGGUAAGGUAACGGCUUACCAAGGCAACGUAGCGUGGCCGACCUGGGAGGGGGAUCGGCACCACGGGAACUGGAACACGGUCCGGAUUCCUACGGAAGGCAGCAGUAGGGAAUCUUCCGCAAUGGGCGAAAUCCGGACGGAGCAACGCCGCGGGGGGGAAGAAGGUCUUCGGAUCGUAAAACUCUGUUAUUAGGGAAGAACAAAUGUGUAAGUAACUAUGCACGUCUUGGCGGUACCUAAUCAGAAAGCCACGGCUAACUACGUG
RNAcentral lists this ribosomal RNA (497 nucleotides) under uncultured bacterium. Its description in RNAcentral is "partial 16S ribosomal RNA". It matches the Rfam family "Bacterial small subunit ribosomal RNA", at positions 28 to 507 of the family's 1533-position model. The record is from RNAcentral.